Molecule: ribosomal RNA, 468 nt
Filed under: uncultured bacterium
Lineage: Bacteria
Description: partial 16S ribosomal RNA
Rfam family: Bacterial small subunit ribosomal RNA
Source: RNAcentral
GAUGAACGCUGGCGGCGUGCUUAACACAUGCAAGUCGAACGGAAAGGCCCAAGCUUGCUUGGGUACUCGAGUGGCGAACGGGUGAGUAACACGUGGGUGAUCUGCCCUGCACUUCGGGAUAAGCCUGGGAAACUGGGUCUAAUACCGGAUAGGACGAUGGUUUGGAUGCCAUUGUGGAAAGUUUUUUCGGUGUGGGAUGAGCUCGCGGCCUAUCAGCUUGUUGGUGGGGUAAUGGCCUACCAAGGUGUCGACGGGUAGCCGGCCUGAGAGGGUGUACGGCCACAUUGGGACUGAGAUACGGCCCAGACUCCUACGGGAGGCAGCAGUGGGGAAUAUUGCACAAUGGGCGCAAGCCUGAUGCAGCGACGCCGCGUGGGGGAUGACGGCCUUCGGGUUGUAAACUCCUUUCGCUAGGGACGAAGCGUUUUUGUGACGGUACCUGGAGAAGAAGCACCGGCUAACUACGUG